UCGGGAAUUUUGGGCAAUGGGCGAAAGCCUGACCCAGCAACGCCGCGUGAAGGAUGAAGUAUUUCGGUAUGUAAACUUCGAAAGAAUAGGAAGAAUAAAUGACGGUACUAUUUAUAAGGUCCGGCUAACUACGUGCCAGCAGCCGCGGUAAUACGUAGGGACCAAGCGUUGUUCGGAUUUACUGGGCGUAAAGGGCGCGUAGGCGGCUUGACAAGUCACUUGUGAAGUCUCCGGGCUUAACUCGGAACGGCCAAGUGAAACUGUCAUGCUAGAGUGCAGAAGGGGCAAUCGGAAUUCUUGGUGUAGCGGUGAAAUGCGUAGAUAUCAAGAGGAACACCUGAGGUGAAGACGGGUUGCUGGGCUGACACUGACGCUGAGGCGCGAAAGCCAGGGGAGCAAACGGGAUUAGAUACCCAAGUAGUCCCUGAGCGGGCUGGCAAGGCGCAU
RNAcentral lists this ribosomal RNA (447 nucleotides) under uncultured bacterium. RNAcentral describes it as "bacterial SSU rRNA". It matches the Rfam family "Bacterial small subunit ribosomal RNA", at positions 355 to 825 of the family's 1533-position model. The record is from RNAcentral.